UGAUUCAUGCACGGCAAUUACCUGUAUUUAACUUGAGGAUUUUGACACUAGAUUGAUGAAUGGCAGAUAUUUGUAGCUGAGUUCAAUCAACAAUGCUAGCAAGCAGAAAUUCCUAUUCACCGAACGUCGAAAAAAUUUUCAAAAUUGUCAACGACCUCACAGGUGUCCUAAACCAGGAAGAAUUUUCAGCAGAUCUUCAAGAAUAUCUUGCUAAAAACUAUCCAAACUAUGCAAGUGAUUUAAAACAGCUCCACGAUGACGUUUCUUUUAACCAGCCGUGCA
Molecule: long non-coding RNA, 282 nt
Organism: Saccostrea cuccullata (small rock oyster)
Lineage: Eukaryota; Metazoa; Mollusca; Bivalvia; Ostreida; Ostreidae
Exons: 3
Source: RefSeq, a predicted model, not a curated record